This 943-nucleotide long non-coding RNA is filed under the name Homo sapiens (human). RNAcentral describes it as "HSALNT0083427". Lineage: Eukaryota; Metazoa; Chordata; Mammalia; Primates; Hominidae. The record is from RNAcentral.
UUUAGAGAGUGGCUAAAUGUGGCUGAAUGCUUUCUAAGGCCAAUUAUGACAUCAUCCCAGGAAAGGCCGUCUGUGCUAAUGGGGCCGCAUUCGCUCCCAUUAUGGUAAAUAAGCCCAUGUUUCACACAACGGUGCAAUAACCCCAUCUGGCUUGCACCAUUUUCUCAGAAUUUUUUUUUCCUACUGACUGUUAGCCAUGUGUCCAGGAUAUUCAAGCUAAUGAGUGCCAUGUUUCCUUCUGAACACAAACAGUUGAACUCUACAAUCGGGACUUGAUCAAAACUUUCAAGUCAGAGAGGUUAUUUUUUAAAAAUGGAUCUCAGUCUCCUUUUCCUGAAAUUUCCAAAUUGCUUGUAAUUUGGCAUCAUAGGAAAAAAUGAAGUUAAGCACAAAGGCACAAUUGCCGAGGAACGUGAUUCUCCGGAGCCGGUCACUGAGCCGUGCUGCGGGACAGAGACGGGGUGGGCCAGGCACCUUCUGCUGUGGGCCCAAGCCCCUGGGCUCAUUCCCUUCCCCAGUUGAGCUGUGUAGGUGGACUCACCCCAUCUCCUGUCCCAGCAAGCUGGGAAACAGCAGAGCUGCAUUUUUCUUUAGAAUCCUGAGAGACUGCCAAGGAAAAGGAUAAAGGAAGCAAAUUGAAAUUUAGCAUAUUUCAAAGGUGUCAAGGAUGAAAUGUGAAAGCAGAACCCUCCUAAAAGUGACGGUUAAGACUCAAGCAUAUUAGAUGCCCAGCAGCUCUCCCCACCUCUGCAAAGACGCUCCCUGCAGUGUGGAGAUGGACGGAGGGCCGGGGAGGGAGUUUGCAUGCAGCACUGUUCUCUCACUAAUAAAGAUGCAAUGCCUCAUGUUAGGUGGAGAUUUACUUGUAUUGAUGCAGAUUUACUGCUCCAAGAAAAGAAAAAAAAAGCCUUAUUGUAUGAUCAAAGCUAAUAAAAAAUAGGAA